AUCUUCGUAUGUGUUGAGUUGUUGAUGUGGUCACGUUGUUGUGUUUGUACUGAUGUAUGAUGUGCUGUGUUACGGAUUAUGUCUAUUCUGUGCGUGCUUGCUGUUCAUAUGUCCUGGUGUGUAGAAUUGUUUAAUUGUGUCAUUGAUGUGCUGUUCGUUCAUGCCAAGCAGUUGCUGUCCAGAUUUCCUCUUUCAUUUUUUUCUGUUCUAUUAUGGUGAGCCUCUAAGUGUCGAGACUGAAGAAUUCAGAGUUG
This 254-nucleotide long non-coding RNA is filed under the name Eucalyptus grandis. Its description in RNAcentral is "long non-coding RNA (EGRA_LNC001940)". Lineage: Eukaryota; Viridiplantae; Streptophyta; Magnoliopsida; Myrtales; Myrtaceae. The record is from RNAcentral.